AGCGAACGGAACGAGGCCAAUGGUCCAAACGAGUAAACGACGAUAUCUUCCGUUCUGUAGCCUUAGCAGCCCCUUCGCAGAAAAACCCGGUAUUUAUUUUUGUGUCGGGAGCCGGAACAGCCAUUCCUAUUAGAAACAUUGACGCCACCAACCCUGCUUGACCUGGGCAUGGCUUUCAUCAACAAGUUUUGGAUUUUCUGUCUGGCUUUGUUUUUCCUCGCUUCACCUCUCAUGCAAGUUGCUAGGUGCCAGUCAGAUUCAGAUGAGGCUGUAGAGACCACUGAAGUAGUAAGUGAUGUUGGAAUUGUUGGUCAGAAUACUCAGGAUUUUGGUGACGAGAGCUAUUCUUCCGCUCCAGGAAUUGAUACGUUCUAUGUAUUCCCAAAGAAUGGUGCAAAAUUGGUUCCAGCUGGAGAAGAGACAGACCUACUCGUUGCUGUGAAAAAUGAUGGGGAGGCAAACUUGAAGGUUAUUGCAAUUAAAGCUAGUGUUCACUUCCCAAAUAAUCAUCACUAUGUUGUUCAAAAUCUUACUGCUCAGCUUUUUAAUUAUGCUUCUUUGCCAGCUUCAGCACAGGGUACUUUCCCAUAUACAUUUGCUGUAAGCCAAUUCUUGCAGCCUGGAGCUUUUGAUCUUGUGGGCACCAUUAUAUAUGAAAUUGACCAGCAUCCAUACCAAAGCACAUUCUAUAAUGGCACUAUUGAAGUUGUUGAGGCUGGCAGUUUUCUGAGCAUGGAGUCUGUUUUUCUUGUUACUCUCGGAAUUGCCCUUCUUGUCCUUUUUGUGCUAUGGAUUUAUGGUCAAGUUCAAAAUGCAUCCAAGAUGCAUAGAUGCUACAGGAGUAAAAGAAAUGAAGAAUUACUCCUAUCAAGUAAGAAGCACUGGAGUUGGAGAAAUUAUGUUUCUGUAUUUUCCUUACCUGGCUUCAUAAUUAUUUGGGGUAAAAGAAUCCAUUUCACCUGGAGACUAUAAGAGUGUCUCCUUUCAAGGUUCUUUCUUCAUUAAUUUCUGUGUCUGUGUCAUAGCUUAGUUAUUAUCAAGCAUUAUGCAUGUACAAUACUGAAACAGCAGCUCAUAAGAUAUUUCAAACUCUUAGAAGCAUUUCUCCAAACUACGUAUUUGCAUCUUUCCCCAUUUAAUUUUCAUAUUUGCACAUGAAUAUUUUCCUAGAAAACAAAGAAGGGCGCAAAAGUUGAAGUUGGGACAAGGACUACCUCAAUGGAUGAAUGGCUUGAGGGAACUGCAUACACCAGGUCGAACAGCAAAUCAAAGAAGAAAGAUAAAUAAUUCUUCUCAAGUUCAUACACGCAAGACAACCAUGGAGUACCGAAUCCUGCAACUCAACUAGGUUGGAGAAUUUGAAAGGGCUAAAGAAGUAGCACAACUUUAGGCAGAGAAGCUGCCCUUCUGUUUUAACCUAUGAAAGAUAUUUAACCAUUUUCCCCCUCCAUAUGAAGUUUAGUUUUCCCAAAGAGAAACUGACAGGGAUGAGUUCAGAAAAAUAAUUUUUUUUUUUUUUUUUUUUGUGAACCGCAGAUUUUUUUUAUUAUUUUUAUUGGUUAGAGUUAGAUGCUGUUCUUACAAUCUAGAUUCUGUUCUUCUUGUGGACUUAAUUUAAAUUGGAUUAUUGAUGUUUGGCCGUAGUUUAUAUUUUGUUCCA
Molecule: RNA transcript, 1660 nt
Organism: Prosopis cineraria
Lineage: Eukaryota; Viridiplantae; Streptophyta; Magnoliopsida; Fabales; Fabaceae
Gene name: translocon-associated protein subunit alpha
Exons: 8
Source: RefSeq, a predicted model, not a curated record